Molecule: long non-coding RNA, 942 nt
Organism: Alosa sapidissima (American shad)
Lineage: Eukaryota; Metazoa; Chordata; Actinopteri; Clupeiformes; Clupeidae
Exons: 3
Source: RefSeq, a predicted model, not a curated record
GAUAAGGAGAAACAGCAUUUCUCUCAUGAUGACAGACCAAAGUUUUUUAAAUUGCUGACAGCCUGUGUAGGCAAAGUGUUAUCAGGUGCAUGCACUGGUGAGACCACUUCAGGCCAUGUGACCACUGGAAGUCAAUCUACAGCACUCUGCCAAGAAGAUCCAUUCGAUUGUUGCCUGCGGACCUGUGAUUGCAGCUGCACUGCAUACAAGAGCAGGAAUAUUGCACUUUCAGUGUCGGGAAAUGUUAUCCGACUGAUGAUUAAGCUCAAAGUUAAAUGAUUCCGAAAUGUCUUGUCAUUCACAACCCUGUUGAAAGACCGGGAGUAAUUGUUGUCUUCUUGUCUUGUACAUGUCUUUAUCUCUCUUUGCUUUUCUCACCUAAUUUAGAAUAGUUAAAAUGAAAAAAAAAACAAGAUGUUUGGUUUGUUUUACUAAUCAGCCUGAAAUAAUCCCCCCCCCCCAUCCCUUUCUUUAGAGCAUCUUCCUCAAAGUUUACUGACUAGGUACUAAGCUGUUAAAAGCAGUAGACCGUGCCCAAACUAUAUCUAUUGAUAGAGAACAGUGAGGCUCAUUGCAGGCCCAGAAUUGCUCUUUGUUUUAACAUUUUGUAGUGAAGGGAGCGAGUGUUCACCAGGGGCUCACAGCGCACAGAGGGGCCUAGAGAGGAAUGUGCCGAGGGGGGAGUUUUAUCGCGCAGGUUGCUUGCCAACAGUCAAGCAGGUGGCGGGAUUUUGUGUGUCUGUUUUUUUUUUUCACUGAAUAAAGCAGCCUUCUUCACCGAUGAAUGGGAGAUGCCAUUCAUGCCCCGUCGGGGGAUUUGCAACGAGAGGGAUUGUGCACAGACUUGCUCUUGUAAAACAUGUCAGAGGACUAACCCUCGUUAGGCAGACACAAACACAAAUACACAGAGACACAGACACAGACAGACGGACAUACACAUAC